This is a long non-coding RNA of Poecilia reticulata (guppy), 1272 nucleotides long. RefSeq lists it as uncharacterized. The record is from RefSeq and is a predicted model, not a curated record. NCBI's taxonomy places the organism in Eukaryota, Metazoa, Chordata, Actinopteri, Cyprinodontiformes, Poeciliidae.
UCUUCCUGAACUGGUUUACUUCAGAUUUUUUUUUUUAAACUUUAUUUUCUGAUCUUCAAAUCAGUACAAAGACGCCUCUGUUCUCCAACAAGGACUUUAACAAGCUUCUCCAGACAUGAAGCUCGACGUCAGGCAGACUAUCACUGAAGUCCACACUCCAGUCCAGUAGGUGGCGGUAAAUCAACCUCGAGUUAGUUUUCCGUUCGCCAAUAAAACACAAAAGAAGAAGAUCGGCAAGAACAUUCUCCAGAGUCCUACAUCAGGUUUGUAAGGUUAUUUGCGGGAAACAACGGAGAAAUCAGCAUCUUUCGCAACCAGAGGAAGAAUGAGAGGCGCAAAGUCUCAUUGGAUGUGAGAGUGGUCGCUGUGUCGGACGCAUUUUGCACGUACAAAACUGAAGUUUUUGGCAGAGUUCACUGAGUGUUUGGCGGGAGUUAGAUACCGUGACCCGGAGUCACGUUUUAACUUUUCAUCAGUGAGAAAGGAGCAAGGCAAGCUUAAGCGGCUAAACAGAGUGUUCAGGAGAGGAAGGAGGAAAGGAAAGGAACGGAGACAGAUAGAGGAAGAAAAGCUCUCACGCGGCAUUACCGCCUGGCUCUGCGCCGUACUCCCUUUAAUGAAGGAGGAAAUGAAGAUGGAGGACGAGGGAUGAAGAAAAAGGAGGAGGAAAAUUCUUUUUUAUCUCUUCUUGCUUCCGUCUCACACUCUGAGCAUAUGUAUGCCCACAAAGCAUGGCGCAAUCUCCAUUAGAGAAAGAGCUGUAAUUUCAGAACUCUUUUUGUCGCCGCCGCUUUAAAAAAGUCGGGCAGAUUGGUAAUAGUUGCUGUUAAAUUAUUCAAGUGUUUGAGCCUUAGAAGUUUGGGGAAAACUGCAGCUUUUUUUCUUCUCCGUUUUUUAAGAUUAGGAUUAAUGAUGAGCACCUCCAAGCAUAGAACUUCCUCACUCGAGGCCGGAGCUUCAAGUUUUUACUUUUACUCAUGAGCAUUGCCUUUUCUAUUCACGUUUUGCACGUUUUUGUUUUUCCAUUUGUGUCUGAACUGCUUCUAAAAACAACCCAAGUGUUAAAGAAAUCACCCAGAUUGUUUUUUGGUGUCUGGAAAAUUAGCAGUUUCAAAAACCUGCACAUUCAAAAGGCAAUGCGGCAUUGCCUAGCAACCCCAGACAAGUCCAGCCUGUCACCCAGCAACCCAAGUGGAAGUACAGCACAUUUGGUCAGCUGAUUCACUUCAGGUUGCUGAAAAAGACAAGUGUUUUGUUGUUGACUUACCAUCC